UUACCAUGCAGUCGACGAUGAAGCCCAGCUUGCUGGGUGGAUUAGUGGCGAACGGGUGAGUAACACGUGAGUAACCUGCCCUUGACUCUGGGAUAAGCCUGGGAAACUGGGUCUAAUACCGGAUAUGACCUUCCAUCGCAUGGUGGUUGGUGGAAAGCUUUUGUGGUUUUGGAUGGACUCGCGGCCUAUCAGCUUGUUGGUGGGGUAAUGGCCUACCAAGGCGAUGACGGGUAGCCGGCCUGAGAGGGUGACCGGCCACACUGGGACUGAGACACGGCCCAGACUCCUACGGGAGGCAGCAGUGGGGAAUAUUGCACAAUGGGCGCAAGCCUGAUGCAGCGACGCCGCGUGAGGGAUGACGGCCUUCGGGUUGUAAACCUCUUUCAGUAGGGAAGAAGCGAAAGUGACGGUACCUGCAGAAGAAGCGCCGGCUAACUACGUGCCAGCAGCCGCGGUAAUACGUAGGGCGCAAGCGUUAUCCGGAAUUAUUGGGCGUAAAGAGCUCGUAGGCGGUUUGUCGCGUCUGCUGUGAAAGACCGGGGCUCAACUCCGGUUCUGCAGUGGGUACGGGCAGACUAGAGUGAUGUAGGGGAGACUGGAAUUCCUGGUGUAGCGGUGAAAUGCGCAGAUAUCAGGAGGAACACCGAUGGCGAAGGCAGGUCUCUGGGCAUUAACUGACGCUGAGGAGCGAAAGCAUGGGG
Molecule: ribosomal RNA, 701 nt
Filed under: Pseudarthrobacter sp.
Lineage: Bacteria; Bacillati; Actinomycetota; Actinomycetes; Micrococcales; Micrococcaceae
Description: bacterial SSU rRNA
Rfam family: Bacterial small subunit ribosomal RNA
Source: RNAcentral